CUCCUAACCUUAUUUGCAUAAAUCGGAACUUUUCGGAGAUAAACGUCAUAAAAUAUGAACAAAAUCCGUAAACGUCCGAACAGCUUUCAUUGCGAGAACUCUCGAGAAUUAGAAGAGACCAACACGCGAGUGGUGAAAAUCGAGAGAAAUAUUCAACUUGAAAAAAGAGGUAAAACUUUAUGUUUUCUCGAUUUACAAGGUUUUUAAAUUGCAUAAAGUUGAAAAACAAACGUUUCUUUACAUGAAAAGUGAAAGUAUGUAUGAAGUUUCUCAUUCUGCCACGUGCUAUUGUACAUGAAAGUGUCAAAACAGCACCUCUCGAUUUUGUAAACAUUUUUCCACGUGCAAGGGAGUAGUUGUGUCGGUAAAGAUGAACAUACAUACACUGGUUUAGGAAACAAAAGCACUCGUUUAAGUACAUGUUGAACAGCCUUCUCCAUAAAGCGGAUAUUCUGAAGACAGCGAUGACGUGAAAGUUCAAGAUUUGCCUAUU
Molecule: long non-coding RNA, 493 nt
Organism: Saccostrea echinata
Lineage: Eukaryota; Metazoa; Mollusca; Bivalvia; Ostreida; Ostreidae
Exons: 3
Source: RefSeq, a predicted model, not a curated record